CGACUCCGACCCACGUGGCUCCUCUGCCGACACCUCUGGCCUCGCUCUUAUCCUCGUCGAUAAAAUCAAGGUAUUUGAUUUCAUUUUCUUUUCCGACACAUAUUCAAUUAUAUUACUAUAUUAUAGUUCAUUUCUUAUAAGAAUGUGAUAUUUAAUCAAAGAUUAACUCUCAAUUUAGUAGAUAUAAGCUUAGUUACUAUUAUCACUAACUAAUUUGAUUUAAAAUUUAAUAGUAUACUAAAUUUGCUACUAGCGACAUAUUUCUGUAUAAAACAAAAUUACGAGAUUAGUUUAUAAAUAAUUGAUUCUUGUAGGGGUUGGCGACGAAGACCUUGAAAGAAAUCAACAGUCUAUAUAAAAAGAGACCGGAACUGAAACAGGCUUUAGACGAAUGUAGUCGAAGAUACAACACGAUCUUAAAGGCUGAUGUUCCCGAAGCCAUUGAAGCUAUAUCUAAAGGAGUUCCGAAGUUCGGUGAAGA
This 481-nucleotide long non-coding RNA is filed under the name Brassica rapa (field mustard). Its description in RNAcentral is "long non-coding RNA (BRAP_LNC004030)". Lineage: Eukaryota; Viridiplantae; Streptophyta; Magnoliopsida; Brassicales; Brassicaceae. The record is from RNAcentral.